Molecule: ribosomal RNA, 601 nt
Filed under: uncultured Alphaproteobacteria bacterium
Lineage: Bacteria; Pseudomonadati; Pseudomonadota; Alphaproteobacteria
Description: bacterial SSU rRNA
Rfam family: Bacterial small subunit ribosomal RNA
Source: RNAcentral
GGGAACGUGCCUUUAGGUUCGGAAUAGCUCCUGGAAACGGGUGGUAAUGCCGMAUGUGCCCUUCGGGGGAAAGAUUUAUCGCCUUUAGAGCGGCCCGCGUCUGAUUAGCUUGUUGGUGGGGUAAUGGCCCACCAAGGCUACGAUCAGUAGCUGGUCUGAGAGGAUGACCAGCCACAUUGGGACUGAGACACGGCCCAAACUCCUACGGGAGGCAGCAGUGGGGAAUCUUGCGCAAUGGGCGAAAGCCUGACGCAKCCAUGCCGCGUGUAUGAUGAAGGUCUUAGGAUUGUAAAAUACUUUCACCGGUGAAGAUAAUGACUGUAGCCGGAGAAGAAGCCCCGGCUAACUUCGUGCCAGCAGCCGCGGUAAUACGAAGGGGGCUAGCGUUGCUCGGAAUUACUGGGCGUAAAGGGAGCGUAGGCGGACAUUUAAGUCAGAGGUGAAAUCCCGGAGCUUAACUUCGGAACUGCCUUUGAUACUGGGUGUCUUGAGUGUGAGAGAGGUAUGUGGAACUCCGAGUGUAGAGGUGAAAUUCGUAGAUAUUCGGAAGAACAMCAGUGGCGAANGCGACAUACUGGCUCAUUACUGACGCUGAGGCUCG